This 497-nucleotide ribosomal RNA is filed under the name uncultured bacterium. RNAcentral's name for it is "partial 16S ribosomal RNA". It matches the Rfam family "Bacterial small subunit ribosomal RNA", at positions 28 to 507 of the family's 1533-position model. The record is from RNAcentral.
GAUGAACGCUGGCGGCGUGCCUAAUACAUGCAAGUCGAGCGAACAGACGAGGAGCUUGCUCCUCUGACGUUAGCGGCGGACGGGUGAGUAACACGUGGAUAACCUACCUAUAAGACUGGGAUAACUUCGGGAAACCGGAUCUAAUACCGGAUAAUAUAUUGAACCGCAUGGUUCAAUAGUGAAAGACGGUUUUGCUGUCACUUAUAGAUGGAUCCGCGCCGCAUUAGCUAGUUGGUAAGGUAACGGCUUACCAAGGCAAUGAUGCGUAGCCGACCUGAGAGGGUGAUCGGCCACACUGGAACUGAGACACGGUCCAGACUCCUACGGGAGGCAGCAGUAGGGAAUCUUCCGCAAUGGGCGAAAGCCUGACGGAGCAACGCCGCGUGAGUGAUGAAGGUCUUCGGAUCGUAAAACUCUGUUAUUAGGGAAGAACAAAUGUGUAAGUAACUAUGCACGUCUUGACGGUACCUAAUCAGAAAGCCACGGCUAACUACGUG